GGGCAGCAUGAUCAAAAGAGACAGCUUCUAACUCAAAGGUGAAGGUCGGGGAAGAGAACAGGUAUCUGGAAAGUUCUUUGUAAGAAGACGGAAGUCUACGAGAACAAUUCGUGAAAUAAAACUAUUAUAUAAUGUAGUUGAGUUGAGAUUUUAAACAUCUAUUUUGAGACUUCUUAUGGCUCCCCAUAUAAAUGAGGAAAGAUGGACCGGAAUCAAACAGAGAGCUGGAGUCAUAAAGCAACAUAGAUUGUUCAGUUUGAAUAAUUGCCACAUCGCUGAACAAAAGAAUAAUAAAAUAUAUGGUUGAUUUUUCCUAGUAAGAGAACUUGCCAAAGCCUAAUAAAAUACUCUUGAUAUCUCGCUUCAUGAAGUAACCGAAGGGAAAUGUCUCUGUGUUUUCCUGCAUUUCAUGUCCCUGAGAUAUGGUAUUGCCAAGACAUGCAAACAGCACUCCCUGGACUGGAUUUAGGGGUGACAGGCUGGGCCUGGGAUGCUGGUUACUCUCUACAGGCAGUAAGGAGAGCACUGGACUUGGAAUCAGGACACCCCAAUGCAGUCCCCACUCUGCUGCUUCCUAGCUGCGAGAUUUUAGACAGGCCACUUAACUUUCCUGAGCCCCAGUUACUUUAUGUGUAAGACGGGGCUUCACAGGUUGGCUGCAAGGGGUAAAUGAAAUACAGGUUACAUCUAUCCAUUGUGUCUCUUGAUUAACUAUUGAGUGAAUGGAUCUUCUUGUGCAACAAUACAAGGUCAUACUCUAAGUUAAGCACGAUUGCAAAAUAUGUGAUGACAGGUACAUGGAAGUCUUCGGCUGUCCUCCUACCUUCUCACCCUGCCUCAGUCUGUCCUCACUUGUGGCAGAUCUGGCUUUAUUAAACACAGAUGGAUUGUGUCACUCUCCUAAGUGAUACCCUUCAGUGCCCUCUCAUCACCGUUCAAGGGAAACCCAAGGCAUCUUAUGUUCUAGUGGGUGAUCUGUGCCCACCUCUCUGGCUGACCUCUGGCGUCUCCCACCCAGGUUAGGGAGGCUCAUCCUCUCUCUCUUCCCUCUCUGUGUAUUUGCAUUGCUCGCUCAUGUCGAGAGGCCCUUGCUCCCACUUCCUUACCCUGCAGAUUCCUUCCUAGUUCUUCACAUUCAGCGCAAGUCUUAAGAUCUCCCUCUGUGCUUUCCAUGGUGUGUCAAUGUCUACCUUCCCAAGAAACUUCUCUUCCUGAAAGCUUAUUGUCCAUGUGGUUGAAAUCAAGAACUAUGGUUGAUACGGAAAUUGAUCCUGGAGUGGGUUUCAGGAAACAGACUCUCAGGGAAAUACAAUGAACUGGGAAUAGAUUAUCUAACCUAGAUUAGGUAGAACAAAGCAAAAUCCUAUUUAAAAUCCAGAGUGCGAGUCUAAUAGCUCAUGGCACCCAGUGGUGAACGAGUGAAUUCAGUGCACCUCCGUUCACCUGGUGUCCACUGCUCACAACGCACGGUCUCAGAUCAUCACUGCCAUGGAGAACAGGGAGGAUCUGAGGGGGUCAGGGCCCCUGAAGUAAGAGACAGAAUGACAGGCUCACAUCCACACGUGCUUGUUCCAAGGUAAAAAAGAAAACUCCAAGAGCUUUCUGGUGGCCAUGUAAAAUGAUUCCUUUAUAUGGCCUCAAAGCAGAGAUUUAGAAAAAAAGAACCCACAAAGUUCGAUCCUGUGGGUUUUGAAUCAUAGUGUUAGCUGAGCUCACAGUGCCUUCAGGUCUCUGAGAGAGAGCAGGGCCCAGGGAACCGGAGCAGCUGGUUUGGGGGUCUCCGGAUACCUGGACAUCCCCGCUCCCGUGAGCUUCCCUUGCACUUGGAUGUGGCUUCUCCUUCUUGCAACAGUCACUGCUGCUCCGUGACCUCCAGGAGCUCCUUGCCAGGGGAAGCCACUUCCCCCAUCUCUGUUAGGAUGCCAGAGUCUUAUCUGUUCUUCAAGCCCAAUUCUUGGGAGUGGAUUUUAGCCUAUCAUUUUUAAGUGCCAGCAUUCCUCAAGUUCCAUGCUUCAGAGUAACUUGUAUUUGUGUGGGAUUCUGAAGGCCUCCUUGAGUGAGGUUCAUUGAAUCUCUGGUUUAGAACCCUCAUAAUUUUCACUACUAAAAUAAAAUGCAUUAUUGAACUAACAAAUCAUGAGUACUAAAGAUAUACAACUAAAAGCAAUUUUUAAGUAAACAAAAAUUCUUAAGUAUACUUGGCACUUGCCUCAUCAAUCUUCAUUUUUAUUCAAUAACCUCUCUAUUUUGUGUUUCUCUUCUUGUUUUUACUGGUUUUUAUUUUAAAGGAAAUGUAAACACAUUACAAAAAAAAUAAAGAAAACAUGACCCAUUAUUUUAUCAUUGUUACCAUUUUGGCCUAUUUUCUUUGGGGCUUUUUCAUUUGCUUCUCCCCCUAACCAUUAUGGUAGACAUCGUGAUGUGUAGAGCUUUUUAAAUUUAAUACACUGCACACAUUUUAAUCUCCUUGUGUGUCUGUGGCCUCUUUUUCAAUGGUUGCACAACAUUGGAAAGAGUACAGUUACUAACUCCUGAUUAUGAAUUAUUGAGGAAGGCAACUCUGCUUUAUUAUACCCAGCUACUGGUAGGGUUUCAAUGACCAUUUGUUAAAUUAAAUUGAAAUUCCUUGCCCAGUCUAAGUUUGCAAUGUUUUAAACACCAUUCCAACACAUAUCUUUCCAGGUAUGGUUUGCCCACAUUUUUUACUUAAGAUGGGUUCCCACAAGUGGGGUUACUGGUCACGAGGUAUGACCAUGUUUAUGCCUCAACGUGUGUUGCCAAAUUACUUUCCUUCUGGAAGGGCUGUACUGACGGACAGCAAACCCCUGCAGUGCAUGAGAUCACCGGUUUCACUCCACCCCUGUCAGCACUCAUGCGAUGGAAGGAAGUCCAGCCUCUCAUUGUGAUUUCAGUGUGAACGUAUUCUCAUUUGUGUGUUUAGUGAUGGCGUCUGCUCAUUUGUGAAUUCACUUACAUAAGCAGUUUGAGUAAACCCUACAUAGACGGAGGAUAUUAACCUCUAUGAACUGCUAGUAUUGUCCGCUUUUGUUCCCCUCCUCCCCCUAGUUCUGGGAUUCGGGCGGAGCGCCUUGCCUCCCCUUUGUUGACAAACCUGUUAGCCCUCUUCUGAAAGCACCUUGAGCUCUGAAAAUUGGCGACCUUGUGAAAUGCUCCUGUCACCUCGUUUUAGCUGCCAGCAUUAACUGACCCAACGAGGACAACUUAUUCAUAACUACUGUAGCUAAUCCAGGAAA
Molecule: long non-coding RNA, 3254 nt
Organism: Phyllostomus discolor (pale spear-nosed bat)
Lineage: Eukaryota; Metazoa; Chordata; Mammalia; Chiroptera; Phyllostomidae
Exons: 3
Source: RefSeq, a predicted model, not a curated record